Molecule: ribosomal RNA, 901 nt
Filed under: uncultured archaeon
Lineage: Archaea
Description: bacterial SSU rRNA
Rfam family: Archaeal small subunit ribosomal RNA
Source: RNAcentral
CCCCACUGCUAUCGGGAUAGGACUAAGACAUGCUAGUCGAGUGAUUCAGGCAAAACGAGUCACGGCGCACAGCUCAGUAACACGUGGCUAAUCUGCCCUUGGGACGAGAACAACCCCGGGAAACUGGGGCUAACUCUCGAUAGGCGAAGAACUCUGGAAUGAGUCUUUACCUAAACAAUGCAACGUUAUCCUCGUUGCAUCGCCCAAGGAUGAGGCCGCGACCGAUCAGGUUGUUGGCGAGGUAAUGGCUCACCAAGCCUUUUACCGGUGCGGGCCGUGGGAGCGGGAGCCCGGAGAUGGGCACUGAGACAAGGGCCCAGGCCCUACGGGGCGCAGCAGUCGCGAAAACUUUGCAAUAAGCGAAAGCUUGACAGGGCUAUCCCGAGUGCCAUCCGCUGAGGAAGGCUUUUACCCAGUCUAGAACGCUGGGGGAAUAAGGAGAGGGCAAGUCUGGUGUCAGCCGCCGCGGUAAUACCAGCUCUCCGAGUGGUGUGGAUGUUUAUUGGGCCUAAAGCAUCCGUAGCUGGCUAAGUUAGUCCCUUGUUAAAUCCACCGAAUUAAUCGUUGGAUUGCGGGGGAUACUGCUUGGCUAGGGGACGAGAGAGGCAGACGGUAUUUUCGGGGUAGGGGUGAAAUCCUAUAAUCCCGGGAAGACCACCAGUGGCGAAGGCUGUCUGCUAGAACGCGCCCGACGGUGAGGGAUGAAAGCUGGGGGAGCGAACCGGAUUAGAUACCCGGGUAGUCCCAGCUGUAAACGAUGCAGGCUAGGUGUUUGGACGGCCACGUGCCGUUCUAGUGCCGCAGGGAAGCUGUUAAGCCUGCCGCCUGGGGAGUACGAUCGCAAGAUUGAAACUUAAAGGAAUUGGCGGGGGAGCACCACAAGGGGUGAAGCUUGCGGUUU